This 459-nucleotide ribosomal RNA is filed under the name uncultured bacterium. RNAcentral describes it as "partial 16S ribosomal RNA". It matches the Rfam family "Bacterial small subunit ribosomal RNA", at positions 338 to 795 of the family's 1533-position model. The record is from RNAcentral.
CCUACGGGUGGCAGCAGUGAGGAAUAUUGGUCAAUGGUCGGGAGACUGAACCAGCCAAGCCGCGUGAGGGAUGAAGGUACAGAGUAUCGUAAACCUCUUUUGUCAGGGAACAAAGGCGGGGACGUGUCCCCGGAUGAGUGUACCUGAAGAAAAAGCAUCGGCUAACUCCGUGCCAGCAGCCGCGGUAAUACGGAGGAUGCGAGCGUUAUCCGGAUUUAUUGGGGUUAAAGGGUGCGCAGGGGGUAUGUUAAGUCAGCGGUAAAAGCCCGGGGCCAAACCCCGGCCCGCCGUUGAAACUGGCAGUCUCGAGUUGGAGAGAAGUAUGCGGAAUGCGCGGUGUAGCGGUGAAAUGCAUAGAUAUCGCGCAGAACUCCGAUUGCGAAGGCAGCAUGCCGGCUCCACACUGACGCUGAGGCACGAAAGCGUGGGUAUCGAACAGGAUUAGAUACCCCUGUAGUC